AGGACGAACGCUGGCGGCGUGCUUAACACAUGCAAGUCGAGCGGAAAGGCCCUUCGGGGUACUCGAGCGGCGAACGGGUGAGUAACACGUGAGCAACCUGCCCUUAGCUCCGGGAUAGCUCCGGGAAACCGGAAUUAAUACCGGAUACGACCACGGCCGACAUCUGCUGUGGUGGAAAGGAUUCCGGCUAAGGAUGGGCUCGCGGCCUAUCAGCUAGUUGGUGGAGUAACGGCCCACCAAGGCGAUGACGGGUA
Molecule: ribosomal RNA, 254 nt
Filed under: uncultured bacterium
Lineage: Bacteria
Description: partial small subunit ribosomal RNA
Rfam family: Bacterial small subunit ribosomal RNA
Source: RNAcentral